RNAcentral lists this transfer RNA (65 nucleotides) under Incisitermes schwarzi. Its description in RNAcentral is "tRNA-Ile". Lineage: Eukaryota; Metazoa; Arthropoda; Insecta; Blattodea; Kalotermitidae. The record is from RNAcentral.
AAUGCAGAGCCUGAAUAAAGGAUUAUCGUGAUAGGAUAAAAUAUGUAACCCAAUUACCUGCAUUA